UACAGAGGGGGCAAGCGUUGUUCGGAAUUACUGGGCGUAAAGGGCGCGUAGGCGGCCGGCUAAGUCGAACGUGAAAUCCCUGGGCUCAACCCAGGAACUGCGUCCGAUACUGGUUGGCUUGAGUCCGGAAGAGGGAUGUGGAAUUCCAGGUGUAGCGGUGAAAUGCGCAGAUAUCAGGAAGAACACCCGUGGCGAAAGCGGCGCUCUGGAACGGUACUGACGCUGAGACGCGAAAGCGUGGGGAGCGAACAGG
This 253-nucleotide ribosomal RNA is filed under the name uncultured bacterium. RNAcentral's name for it is "partial 16S ribosomal RNA". It matches the Rfam family "Bacterial small subunit ribosomal RNA", at positions 524 to 776 of the family's 1533-position model. The record is from RNAcentral.